This is a non-coding RNA of Grammomys surdaster, 489 nucleotides long. The record is from the annotation of a RefSeq genome assembly. Lineage: Eukaryota; Metazoa; Chordata; Mammalia; Rodentia; Muridae.
GUGUAAGCACAUAUAUCUCUCACUGGAUUUUGAUAUCUGAAGAAAAGGGGGUGUAGCCUAAAAGAUGAGAGUGUUGAGUCUUCUGUACCUGUUGUCAGUCCUUCCUGGUAUCCUGUCUGAUGUGCAGCUUGAGGAGUCAGGACCUGGCCUGGUGAAACCCUCUCAGUCACUGUCCCUCACCUGUUCUGUCACUGAAUUCUCCAUCACCAGCAGUGGUUAUUACUGGAACUGGAUCCGGCAGUUUCCAGGAAAUAAACUGGAGUAUAUGGGGUACAUAUAUUCCAGUGGUAGCACUGACUACAACCCAUCUCUCAAAAGUCGAAUCUCCAUCACUAGAGACACAUCCAAGAACCAGUACUUCCUGCAGCUGAACUCUGUGACUACUGAGGACACAGCCACAUAUUACUGUGCAAGAUACACAGUGUAGAGUCUUCAGUCUAAGCUCAGACAUAAACCUCCUUGCAGAGGAGCUUUGUACCAAAAGGUGGC